UGACAGGAAGAGUGAGUACUCUUUUCGCUAGAAGACAAUGACGUUUAUCCUUCUCCCUGUGAAGCGCAAGCUAGCAACGGUAGAAAUGAAGUUUGAAAAGCUCACAAGCCGUGUUUUUUCUAAAACGUUUGAGCAUUGGGAAACUUUCGUCUUUGGUGCGUGUGCUUUCGGGUUUGGGGCCCCGGAUGCAGAGGCAAGCAUACUCCAGGGCUGCUGACAGGGAGAAAAUGAGCAAAUCCCCGAAGCACAGUAGAUGGCAGUGUAGCUUCGCUGAACCACUGGUAGGGUCAUUUUCAUUUUUCAAGCUCUCUGGGGGGAUGCAGCAAACUCCCAUCUUCAGACAUGAUAAGAUGAUGGCAAAAAGAAAAUCACAUCACAACCCAAGAUGGCAGUCCUUCCCCACAAGUUGCUGCCGGCCGAGUGAACGCAAAGAAUGGGGUGUCAGAGGACUGAAACAGAGAUGCGGGUUGGAGGUCAGACAGAAGGGCAGAAUGUGAGAGGCGGAUUAAAAGUGCCGGAACACAUGAGGCAGAGGGGAUAGUGGAGGGAUGCUCUCAAGCAGCUGAGGCUGCAGGAGUCAGCGAGGGGUGUGUGGGUUGGCUUGUUUGCUCUUAUCUCAGCCAUAAAUCGCUAUAGACCAGUAGGCAUACACAGGAAUCUUAUGUAACUGCAUUAUUAAUGCCUUUUGAUUGCUUUGUGAAUGUCACACAAUCAUGUUCUGACAACCUCUGCUUGAUUGUAUAGUAAAAUCAAGCAAGUCAUUGUAGGAAUGCAUAAUAAAAUCUGAUGCUUGUCAUCUUGUUCACACCCCUUCCUGUCUCUCCUGCUUCAUUAUGCCAGCACACACUCACUUUUCAUAAUGUGCUUCUUUUUAUGUACAUGUACAAUCAUUUUCACACAGAGUACAAGUAACAAAAACAAGAUACUUACAGCCAUUAUAGCUUGCCUAAAUUGCUUUUUCUAAUAUGGCUCACACGAACAACCGCUCCCCUGGCACCUAUGCCAGGAAUGUAUUAUAUGUGCAAUGUUGUGCAAUUAACCAAAUGAACCCUUUAUCAUGUCAUCUUACUGCCUAUGCAACUGACAGAAGUAGGUUAAUCUGAUGGCUCAUCUUCAACAAUCCCCCAUAGCAAGUCUAUAAAAAAGGUAAACUUACUGAGAAUAUAGUGUUCUUAUUUUAUGAUAUGAAGACGUGACUUUUCCCAAAGACACGAUGU
Molecule: long non-coding RNA, 1217 nt
Organism: Doryrhamphus excisus (bluestripe pipefish)
Lineage: Eukaryota; Metazoa; Chordata; Actinopteri; Syngnathiformes; Syngnathidae
Source: RefSeq, a predicted model, not a curated record